AACCUAGCACACCUGCGGUGUGUACCUGCGGAAGGAUCAUUACCUAGAGUUGCGGGCUUUGCCUGCCAUCUCUUACCCAUGUCUUUUGAGUACCUUCGUUUCCUCGGCGGGUUCGCCCGCCGGUUGGACAACACUUAAACCCUUUGUAAUUGAAAUCAGCGUCUGAAAAAACUUUAAUAGUUACAACUUUCAACAACGGAUCU
Molecule: unclassified non-coding RNA, 203 nt
Filed under: soil metagenome
Description: partial contains 5.8S ribosomal RNA, internal transcribed spacer 2, and large subunit ribosomal RNA
Source: RNAcentral